GCGGUCGUAGUCUAGUUUGGUAGGACAUCAGCCUGCCACGCUGACAACCCGGGUUCGAAUCCCGGCGGCCGCACCA
This 76-nucleotide transfer RNA is filed under the name archaeon. RNAcentral's name for it is "tRNA-Gly". It matches the Rfam family "tRNA". From Rfam's summary of the family: Transfer RNA (tRNA) molecules are approximately 80 nucleotides in length. Their secondary structure includes four short double-helical elements and three loops (D, anti-codon, and T loops). RNAcentral also lists the same sequence under 2 other names. The record is from RNAcentral.